AUUAGGAAUCUUGCGCAAUGGGCGAAAGCCUGACGCAGCGACGUCGCGUGAAGGAUGAAAUCUUUCGGGAUGUAAACUUCUUUUACCAGGGAAGAAAGCAAUGACGGUACCUGGUGAAUAAGCCCCGGCUAACUACGUGCCAGCAGCCGCGGUAAUACGUAGGGGGCGAGCGUUGUCCGAAGUUACUGGGCGUAAAGAGCGCGUAGGCGGGUUUUUAAGUGAGGGGUGAAAUUCCGAGGCUCAACCUCGGAACUGCCUUUCAUACUGGGAACCUUGAGUGCGGGAGAGGCGAGUGGAAUGGUCGGUGUAGCGGUGAAAUGCGUAGAUAUCGAUCGGAACACCCAUGGCGAAGGCAGCUCGCUGGCCUGUAACUGACGCUGAGGCGCGAAAGCGUGGGGAGCAAACAGG
This 408-nucleotide ribosomal RNA is filed under the name uncultured Armatimonadales bacterium. RNAcentral's name for it is "bacterial SSU rRNA". It matches the Rfam family "Bacterial small subunit ribosomal RNA", at positions 354 to 776 of the family's 1533-position model. The record is from RNAcentral. Lineage: Bacteria; Bacillati; Armatimonadota; Armatimonadia; Armatimonadales.